This 2014-nucleotide long non-coding RNA is filed under the name Homo sapiens (human). Its description in RNAcentral is "HSALNT0374913". The record is from RNAcentral. Lineage: Eukaryota; Metazoa; Chordata; Mammalia; Primates; Hominidae.
CUUGUUCAUCUGGCUCUCCCCACCCUCCUACUUUCAGACUUAUCCUUCUAGGUCAGCAAAUCUGGAGAGCCUCUCCUCUUGAUCUAGGGUCAUUAUUACAAUGAAGGGAAGAAAGGAAGACAUGAAGGGGAAAUGGGACUAUUUACCAAGUGUAUCUGCAUAGACUAAAGGAGACAAGAGGAAGUACUGAGCACCUUGAUUCCUGCAGAUAAUUAUUUAAGAACCAUAAGAAUUCUUUCCUAGCUUCUCAUAAGCCUGCUCCUUCAAAGGGUUAACUGCAGUGAAUCAAACUAUUGGAUUAUAAUUCCAUGAAGUAAGUUUAUUGAAGACAAACAGGCCUUGGGCCGCUGCCUCUGUCUCUCCUGCCUUCCCCACUGAAUCUCCAGCCCACAUUCACAAACAAAGACAAACCUGUGUAAACUGAAGCACCACAAAACUACUUUUAUGAAAGCAGAAUGGAAGAUUUCACCUGCAUUUCCUACAUUCAACUGAAUCCUUUAAAUUGACUGAGGCACAUCCUGUACCAAGGAGAGACCUUUGUUACUGCCUUUGAUCCUGAGACCUUCUGAGCCAGCCUCCUUGGUAUAACCACGCAUUUACGGAAGAUGACGUUACCAGCAGCCCUGGGGCGCAGUCAACAGCAGUGGAAGAGCUGGCUCAUGUGUGGCUCAGGCUGACUCCACAAUCAGAGUGAUUAUGUGGAAAUCAAUCAGAAUUUUCUUCUUAGAAGAUGUUUGUUCUGACAUAAUGACUGACUUUCCAGCUAAUUUUUAUUCAUAGGCUUCUCCUUGCACAAUGAUCUCUAUUUCUCUCAAUGUUAUUCUGUGUCUUUCUUGCUUGCCUGCACAUUCUGAAAAAAAAAGGAAAGCAAUUCCCUACAUUUUAUUUUGAUACUUAAUGUUGUUUGCUAACAUAUUCAGAACACAAUGCAACUUUAUAUAUUAGAGCACUUAUAAUAUAUAUUAGGAAAACAUCAAUUAGGUACCACCAGUUAUUUUAGACAGGUAUCUCUUAGGUAAAAUGUGGUGAAAAUAGAGGGGCAAUGAUAGAAUUCAUAUGUGAAAGAGUCAAUUGGCCAUCAUUAUGCCAAAAUUAUUUUGUGGUUCAGGGGACAUUUUAAACUUUAAUUUUUAAGAAUUAAACUUUAAUUAAAUUUAUUGUAGUUUAAAUGCAAUCACAAGGAAAGACUCUGAACUGGAAACACCAAGCCAAGCUCUUUCCUAGUUCUGGUCCCCUAUAAACCCUGAAAGUUAAUGCAAUUAUUGUAAUUUUUAAACCACCGAGUUCUCAGGGUGAUUAGUUAUGCAGCAAUAGAUAGCCUGAAAAGGACCAUUCUUUCUGGCACUGAAAAUUAAGAAGAGUGAUUAACAACAUAAGAAUGUAGUUUGUGCUGUCUGCCACAGAUUUAUGUUGUAGCUUCAGUGAUUGCUUCAAAGCACCCUUACUAAUUGCCAGCCUAUUGCUGAUACCUAGCUAAAUUAGCAUGUGUUAGUUUUGAUACCACUAUAGGCAUUUAAAGGAUAGCUGAUACAUUCUAUAUAAAAUAUAAUUAUUUUCCUAUCUUUAGUUUAUCCUAAAGUAGCAGCUAUUAUAUUCGCUUCUUGAUUAGCUUUAUACAUAACCAGAGAAAGUAAAAUAUCACAGAGUAUAUUUGAAGACAUAAAAGUCUUUGGACAAAGCUCAAGUAAUGAAUCAGGAUGCUAUUACAUCCUCCACAUGACAGUAAAUAUAUUUUAUAUUCCUAAAUUUUAAGCUUUUAACAAAAGCAAAUUUUAUACUGGACUAUUUCAAUUUCUAGGGAAAGGAAAUUAUCAUUUACUGUCUUUGAGGCUAUAAUCUAUUUAGCCAUUAUUUUUAUAUUGAUCAAUUUAUAAUAAAGGUAAGAGAAAAUACUACCACAUAUAUGUUGUUUAUAUAAUUUUAACUUUCAUAAUUAAAAUACUGGGUAUACUGCAAGAUGUCAAUAUUUAUAAUAGCUUAUAUUUGGAAACAAUUAUACUUUAUAUACUCCUAA